CCAGCUUGGAAGGCCAUCCUCCCUGAGGGAUCCUGUACUGAGCUGCCCUGAGGUCCUUGCUUGUGCCCAGCUCGGGGCAGCUUAGUACAGGAUGCAUCGGGGUGGGAGUGAACGGGCAGCGAG
Molecule: microRNA precursor, 123 nt
Organism: Ochotona princeps (American pika)
Lineage: Eukaryota; Metazoa; Chordata; Mammalia; Lagomorpha; Ochotonidae
Source: Ensembl